UUUUGUAUAGCUCAGUUGGUAGGGCAUGAGACUGUUAAUUUCAGGGUUGUGGGUUCGAGUCCCACAUUGGGCAAAAA
Molecule: non-coding RNA, 77 nt
Organism: Podarcis lilfordi (Lilford's wall lizard)
Lineage: Eukaryota; Metazoa; Chordata; Lepidosauria; Squamata; Lacertidae
Source: the annotation of a GenBank genome assembly